RNAcentral lists this ribosomal RNA (301 nucleotides) under uncultured bacterium. RNAcentral's name for it is "partial 16S ribosomal RNA". It matches the Rfam family "Bacterial small subunit ribosomal RNA", at positions 509 to 807 of the family's 1533-position model. The record is from RNAcentral.
CAGUAGCCGCGGUAAUACGGAGGGUGCGAGCGUUAAUCGGAAUUACUGGGCGUAAAGCGUACGCAGGCGGUUUGUUAAGUCAGAUGUGAAAUCCCCGAGCUUGACUCGGGAACUGCAUUUGAAACAGGCAGGCUAGAGUCUCGUAGAGGGGGGUAGAAUUCCAGGUGUAGCGGUGAAAUGCGUAGAGAUCUGGAGGAAUACCGGUGGCGAAGGCGGCCCCCUGGACGAAGACUGACGCUCAGGUACGAAAGCGUGGGGAGCAAACAGGAUUAGAUACCCCUGUAGUCCCUGUCUCUUAUAC